RNAcentral lists this long non-coding RNA (693 nucleotides) under Felis catus (domestic cat). RNAcentral's name for it is "lncRNA (ENSFCAG00000041266.2)". The record is from RNAcentral. Lineage: Eukaryota; Metazoa; Chordata; Mammalia; Carnivora; Felidae.
CAGGGAGUAUAAAUUUCACAUAGACUAACACUAACAGAUUGCAGUGAUUCUAAUGAGUGAGUUUCUCUGUCUUUUAGGACCUAUACAAAUAUGCAGCCAUGAUAAAGGAGAAGAACUGAAGAAAAAAUACGCACACUGUUCACAAGACUUGUUGGUUUCUGCCUCCUCUCGUCUGGCUCAGGGAGGAAGAUCCCCAACACUGGCUCUACUUUCUAGCUGAUCACCGCCAUUUACCUACCCAGGCCUGAGUGGGACAAGUACUUAGAGAAACCAGAAAUCUUUCAGGGGAUUUGUUGCUUAAGUGUAAGUGACAAUUAUUUGCAUUACUACUACUUUCCAACCAAAAAAGAAUUCUAAAACUCUGUCCUACGAAGAGAUCACAACAUGAAAGAAUUGCUUAAAAUCACUUCUUUUUUUUCCAUUGUUUUGUUGGUCUCUCUGGACUGUCUUAGAUGCUAGUUGAAAUUCAUAUUUACAUGAGUCAGAAAUUGUCUAGCUAUUCCCUAACGUCUUUAUUUCCUAAACUAUAUUCACUCUGUUUUAAAAAAAGGACUUGAAACUUUGAGACUUAAUGGUAGAGACUUAAGAAAGGGUAUCUUUUGUUGUUUCUUGCAGUAGAUGCUGCUGAGUUCAAUUGAUGCCUUGGAAAGGCUGAGGAUGAUUAAUCCUCAGUUAAAACCUAAGUGUGAAAGG